GACGAACGCUGGCGGCGCGCCUAACACAUGCAAGUCGAACGAGAGAGGAAGAGCUUGCUUUUCCGAUCGAGUGGCGAACGGGUGAGUAACGCGUGAGGAACCUGCCUCAAAGAGGGGGACAACAGUUGGAAACGACUGCUAAUACCGCAUAAGCCCACGGCUCGGCAUCGAGCAGAGGGGAAAGGAGCAAUCCGCUUUGAGAUGGCCUCGCGUCCGAUUAGCUAGUUGGUGAGGUAAUGGCCCACCAAGGCGACGAUCGGUAGCCGGACUGAGAGGUUGAACGGCCACAUUGGGACUGAGACACGGCCCAGACUCCUACGGGAGGCAGCAGUGGGGAAUAUUGCACAAUGGGGGAAACCCUGAUGCAGCGACGCCGCGUGGAGGAAGAAGGUCUUCGGAUUGUAAACUCCUGUUGUUGAGGAAGAUAAUGACGGUACUCAACAAGGAAGUGACGGCUAACUACGUGCCAGCAGCCGCAGUAA
This 482-nucleotide ribosomal RNA is filed under the name uncultured bacterium. RNAcentral describes it as "partial 16S ribosomal RNA". It matches the Rfam family "Bacterial small subunit ribosomal RNA", at positions 28 to 523 of the family's 1533-position model. The record is from RNAcentral.